UUGGAGGGCAAGUCUGGUGCCCGCAGCCGCGGUAAUUCCAGCUCCAAUAGCGUAUAUUAAAGUUGUUGCAGUUAAAAAGCUCGUAGUUGAAUUUCGGAAUCCAUCCAUCGGUCGGGCUUCACGGUCCGCACUGGUGUGAUGGAUUCCUACCUUCUGAAUAACCAGCAUGUCAUUAAUUUGGUGCGUUGGGGAAGCAGGACUGUUACCUUGAAAAAAUUAGAGUGCUUAAAGCAGGCUAGUGCCUGAAUACAUUAGCAUGGAAUAAUGAAAUAGGACGGCAUGGUUCUAUUUUGUUGGUUUCUAGGAUCACCGUAAUGAUUAAUAGGGAUAGUUGGGGGCAUUAGUAUUCAAUUGUCAGAGGUGAAAUUCUUGGAUUUAUUGAAGACUAACUUCUGCGAAAGCAUUUGCCAAGGAUGUUUUCAUUAAUCAAGAACGAAAGUUAGGGGAUCGAAGACGAUCAGAUACCGUCGUAGUCUUAACCAUAAACUAUGCCGACUAGGGAUCGGACGAUGUUAAUUUUUUAAUGACUCGUUCGGCGCCUUACGGGAAAC
Molecule: ribosomal RNA, 551 nt
Filed under: uncultured Acaulosporaceae
Lineage: Eukaryota; Fungi; Glomeromycota; Glomeromycetes; Diversisporales; Acaulosporaceae
Description: SSU rRNA
Rfam family: Eukaryotic small subunit ribosomal RNA
Source: RNAcentral